This is a non-coding RNA of Bombyx mori (domestic silkworm), 149 nucleotides long. The record is from RefSeq and is marked provisional. Lineage: Eukaryota; Metazoa; Arthropoda; Insecta; Lepidoptera; Bombycidae.
UGCUCAGAGUAUAUGUUUUUUGUUAUUCUGUUUUAGGUUGUGUUGCGUUUUUAUCUAUUAACCGAACUGCGAAAUACGAAUAUCCUUUGCUUUUUAGAGAUCACGUAUACCGCAACUUGAGUGAAAAUGGCAGAGAAAUAUUCUACGCU